Molecule: long non-coding RNA, 4651 nt
Organism: Cuculus canorus (common cuckoo)
Lineage: Eukaryota; Metazoa; Chordata; Aves; Cuculiformes; Cuculidae
Exons: 3
Source: RefSeq, a predicted model, not a curated record
UCUGCUACCUGAAACAUACUGUCAGCCUUCAAAUUGUUAUUAAAAGGAUCAACCUGUUCCUUUCAGAAAUGAUUUGUGCAUCUGUGAAGCCUGUAACAUCGUUGUGUCUUCUACGAGGAAAAGAAAACCCUACUUAAAUUAAAUGGCUUUGCUACAAAGAGGAUCUGGCAGUGGUCAGCUUUGUAUUAUUAACAUUUCCCAGGAGUGAUGUUCCAUAGUGGCAGGCUGAUGUAAUUACCAGAAGUGAAGUUGUAAGUCCUAUUGAAAAGACCAAGAGAUUUGCUAGUGACUUCAAAGAGGUAAAGAUUUGUGUGGAUUUGCAUGGGGAUAGAAAAUGCAAUGGGUUAGAAAAUCAGGUCCUCCAGUGUCUUUAAUCUUUUGCGGGCUUUAUCCAGACAUUUUGGUCUACAGGGGAUUUAAAUUAAGUUGCAAAAGAGACUUCCUAAACUUUCAAUCCAAAUGCUAUAUUAUGUGGGUUUUACACUAUUAGCUUAAAAUAUUGACCUUUUCUGAGCUUUUUGGAUUAAUGGCUUGUGGACAACUAAUGCUAGCUUAAUGUUGGCAAGGAAUUUACUUUCAUGAUGUGGAGGUAGUCAAUGAACUAAUAGUAAUUUGCCUUUAUCCAGAAAAUUCACAUAUAUACUAAAAGUUGAAAUAAGACCUUGGGAUGAACCAGUAAAUUCUCAAAAAUGACAAGACAGGAUAAAGUACACUGGAAAAGACAUUUGAGAGAAUUUGUAGUAAAAAAUAUGUUACAGAUAGUUACUGUGAAAUUGUACGAUCAGAUGAUUAGAUUCUUUUUGGUCCUAUUUUUUUAUUAAAAAUAAUGGUUCUAAAGUAAUUGUGCAGGUUUGUUCAGAAAUACUUACAACUGAUGUGUAAAUAAUCAGUUACCUGUGCCAGGUUUUGUGAUUAUUUUUUUAAACAGAGGUCACUGUAAAAUGUGAAAGAACAGCUAAGUCAGGUAAAAAAAAUCGUACUUGUGAUUUAACAUAAACUGGUAUCCAUAUGGAUAUGGAGCAACAAGACUCCCACUUUCAGGCUGCAUUCUGUGAAGAGAUGUCCCAGAGGAUUUAGUGGUCUGAGAAGCCUCCCUGUUGUUUUACAGCUAAGAUAUUAUACCAGUCAAAGGUGUUGACACAGAAGACUGUGGUUGGGCAUACAGUACAUACCAUUCCCCUGGGUUAACUUACUCAUCAACCCUGGCUGGGUGAGAAAGAGCAGGAGAAGAAAAAUAUGGCAGAUGGCACAGGAGUCUUGGGAAGACUGUCUCCAUUCUUUGCUUGUUUCAACACAAAACUGCCUCUGAGAUGAGGAGUGCCUUGUGGGAAUUCUUUUAGCCAACAUGGGAGAGCUGCCUUAUAAGCUGGAACUGGUCUCACGGAGAAAUGCCUCCUGCUGUGCAGUGUGAAGAUCUCCAGCUGCUGUUCUACAGCCAAGCAACAGAGAAUACGUGGAGAGUUACAGAACCAUGACCCAAGAAGAGUCUUUGGCCAGUGCUUUGUUGCAAGUACUAGUUGCUAGGUGCUGUUUUGAAAGGAACAGUUUAGUAGCUUUAGUAUAUAGCAUGAAGGAAUCUGCAGCUGAUUCACAGAAACAUCAUUUCAAGAUACACAGAUUCUCCCUUGUCUUGGUCCAUUUUAUUGUACUUGCCAACAUGCAAAAUAACAUCAGCUGUUAAUGAGGACACACUAGUUCCACUGAAGGUAAUAAAUGGGGAAGCUUGGUUCUGCUGUAUUUUCCCCAUUUUACCUUCACUCCCCUGACUGUAGAUCCCUCUGUCCUUCUCUCAGUUCAGGACAGAGCAAGAAUAGUUGCAUUUCACUACAGUGAGAGCCAUGCUCUGCAGCAGCUGUAGCAAGAUGUGCCUUGGAGUAAACUUAGAACAGCCUAUGCACUGUUUCUCUAACAGCUUUAGUCUAUAUGGGUAGAUAUACUGCAUCCAUGAUUCUCCUCUGUCAAGAGCAACAGCAUAUAGAUGAUGUAGCAGUCCGUUUUGCCUAUAUACUCCAUCUUCUUCAUCAAAAUGUUCAGACCUGAGCCUGGAACUAAGUAUCCAUAUAGUCAAGUCAGCUAUCUCCCACUGGGCUAUUUCCUGGCAUGUGCACUAGAAAUGGCUUGUGGUGAAGAGGAAGUCCACUUUUCCAGAGGAAAAUGACUGGAGAAGACAACAGGCUGAUGUGAUUUAGUCUUGUUCACUGGCUGAAGAGAGAUCUCCCUUCAGAUCACUGUCUGAAGGGAGAAAUUUAGUUAGUAGUGUACACAGCCACAGGAACCAAGCGUCUUUCUGAGGACUACACUUGUGUUAACACGUAUUUGCCAUAUGCUGUAGAGCUUUGCAUAAUAGAUAUGGUACUGGACAAAACCUGUGGCCAGCAACCUCACCGUUAACAAGCAGUAGACUACCACACAGUGAUUAUUGGAAGGCAGAUUCUGUGACUGGAAAAAAAUUCCAUGAAUAUUAAAUAAGAAAAUAUUCUAGUCUGCUAUUUUUAAUUGCUCCAACUGAGAGAUGCAUUAAAGUUUACUUCAACUUAGAAUCUAAAUUUUGAAUCUGCAUUAAGAAAUAAAGACGUUCUCAAAUAUAUACAUGUAUGGAUAGCAAAGAAACCUGUCUUGAAAGAAUCUCCCAGGUGUGAACUCAACCCUACUGUCUGCCAUUCCCAGGAAAUGAAAGUCAUCCCAUCUCAACCAAGCUCCAAAGCACAGUGACACAACAGCUUAGAGAGGGGAUUUACACAAGGAAUUAUACUGGACAAAUGACCAGCCUGUGAUCACCUCUGUCUACACCAUAUUUACUAUAAAAUGAGUUUUAAUUGCUCUUUCACCUCUGAGUAAGUGUAGCACACACAGCUGAGUGUGUGCAUGCUAACAAAUUGACUUCCAGCAUCCACCAUGAACUCCAUGGGUUGCAAAAAAACAUUGGGAACUACAUUGCAGAUCUGCUAGAAGAACCCAGAAAAAUGUUCUAUGAUGUUUAAUUCACCAUACCAGACUCCCAGAUGAGCUUGUAUCUGACAUGCUAUCAGAUAUUAAAUCAGUUUACCAAGCAGAACUUUUAGGACAAAUGAAAUAAAACACUUUUUUUUUUUUUCCCUCACACAAACAUAAUGAAUCUCUAGAGCUCCUUGCUGUUCCCGAAUUUGUGACAGCCAAAAGUAUAAAGUAGUUCACAAAAAAUAAAGUAUUGGAAGAUGCAUCCUCUUGUUUAACCAUAAACUGAAUUUGCUGAAGUUAGAAGCAUCCCACUUUAGGAGGCAUGUAGGUGUCUGUUUGUCUGCUUCUAAACUCUUUCACUGAGCAUUUGCUGCUGAUCACAUGACUAGAAGGACUAACUGCAUGACACAAGUUUAUGUUUGUAUUUUAUAGUCACCUUCCAGGUAAAAUACAACCCCGAAUGGAUUGUGACUGUUUCUUGUUAUUGCUCUCAUUACUGGCCUUGAGGAUGAUCUGUGUGUGAAGCCAACAGAACUGCGGUGGUAUGUAGGGAUGCCCUCUGGUCAUGUUGGGGUUUAAGCCAAAUAUCAACUUGAGCGAUCAUGUUCUACUGGUAUAUACCAAGUUUCCCCUAGAAAGUUUGACUGGAAAAAGCACUUCACGCUAUUAAGCAGACCUUACUGCAGCAGAUUAGCCAACAUGUCCUGUUUAGAAUAAGCCACCAACUGUAACGAUAGUCAGCCCAGAGAACACAUAUAAUCUGUGUUAUUUUGGAAGAGGCAUGGAAAAAGCCAAAAAAACAGACAGUUAUUAUGAUAUGCAUAUGACAAAAGGCUCACAUUCAAGUUCAAGCUGUUGCAGCUAAAAUUUUUUUCUCCCACUGCUCUGAGGGUACCUAAGUGCCAUUCUGGAUUCAGGUCUCAAAGUGGAACUUGAUCCGAGUGAGAGCAGGGAGGUGGAGGUGAGCAGGAUGCUUUCUCCUGAAGGCUAUUGCAUCACGGCCUUUGAGUCAACACAUUUCAGACCUCCCACAGAGAGAAGAGCUGGUUCUUUACCUGAGCAAGCCCCAGCACAAUAAGUUGGGUAGCUUUCCUCCAGGCAUUUUACUGAGGUCAUACAUGACAGUCACAAAUAUUUCUCAGAUUAUCAAAUCUUGUGGAAGACUGUGGCGUGUUGUUCAAAGAAUUUUUUCCUUUAAUUACAGUAAGGCAGAAGUUAGCUUAAAGGAAAUCAUACAAAGUGAUGUCUGAGUCACUUGACGAUGACUUCCUGCAUUAAAAAACAGAGGCACAAAAGAAGAAUCCCACCUCUGCUCUUUUUUUGUUCCAUGAGGCCUUUCUUGCAACACCAGCUAAAAAAGCAGCUUUCUGGGGAUCUUCCUGAAAUAGGGGAAUCCCCACUGGAAGCGGAAGAUUUUUCUAUGCUGUGAGGUGUUGGAGGAAAGGUCAAACUACUCGGAAACACAGCAGCAGAGGGCUUUGCUGACUGAUACAGUUUAGGAUAGGAUAGAAGGUACUCUGGAGAUGAAACAAAGAAUUAGAAAGCUUUGACUAAAUCCCCUGACUGUAUGUGAAAGCUACCACAAGGAAAUGGUCCCAACAUGUCUUGGUAGGGACUGUUAGCUGAUGAAAAUUCUCAGUUUCUGUCAAAGUAGCUAAAAAAACCCAACCCAAUGGAUAUGCUCUUUUCUCACAGAAGAGCACAUAAAGUAAUU